RNAcentral lists this ribosomal RNA (424 nucleotides) under uncultured bacterium. Its description in RNAcentral is "partial 16S ribosomal RNA". It matches the Rfam family "Bacterial small subunit ribosomal RNA", at positions 357 to 773 of the family's 1533-position model. The record is from RNAcentral.
UGGGAAUUUGGACAAUGGGCGAAGCCUGAUCCAGCAAUGCCGCGUGUGUGAAGAAGGCCUUCGGGUUGUAAAGCACUUUUGUCCGGAAAGAAAUCCUUGGCUCUAAUACAGUCGGGGGAUGACGGUACCGGAAGAAUAAGCACCGGCUAACUACGUGCCAGGCAGCCGCGGUAAUACGUAGGGUGCAAGCGUUAAUCGGAAUUACUGGGCGUAAAGCGUGCGCAGGCGGUUUGCUAAGACCGAUGUGAAAUCCCCGGGCUCAACCUGGGAACUGCAUUGGUGACUGGCAGGCUAGAGUAUGGCAGAGGGGGGUAGAAUUCCACGUGUAGCAGUGAAAUGCGUAGAGAUGUGGAGGAAUACCGAUGGCGAAGGCAGCCCCCUGGGCCAAUACUGACGCUCAUGCACGAAAGCGUGGGGAGCAAAC